This 338-nucleotide long non-coding RNA is filed under the name Androctonus crassicauda. The record is from RNAcentral. Lineage: Eukaryota; Metazoa; Arthropoda; Arachnida; Scorpiones; Buthidae.
CAGACGAAGGCAACAAACACGAGCAAAAACCAUAUGCUGAUUUGACGAAAGCAUCAAACACGAGCGAAAAUUAUACGCAGACGAAAGCAACAAACACGAGCAAAAACCAUAUGCUGAUGAAAGCAUCAAACACGAGCGAAAACUAUACGCAGACGAAGGCAACAAACACGAACAAAAACUGUAUGUUGACGAAAGCAUCAAACACGAGCGAAAGUUAUACGCAGACGAAGAUAACCAACACAAACAACAAUUAUAUCCAACCUUGUACGUCAACGAGGAAAUACCGUUACGUAUUUGAAGAUUAUACUAUUGGCGAUCGGCAUCUAUAUAUUUAGCCA